UCGCCUGUUUUUACAAAAACAUGUCUUUUUGUAUUUAAUUUAAAGUNUAAUCUGCCCACUGAUUUUUAAUUAAAGGGCUGCAGUAAUUUGACUGUACAAAGGUAGCAUAAUCAUUAGUCUUUUAAUUGAAGACUUGUAUGAAAGAUUUGAUGAGAUAUAAACUGUCUCUUUAUUACAAUUAAAAUUUAAUUUUUUAGUUAAAAAGCUAAAAUAUUUUUAAAAGACGAGAAGACCCUAUAGAGUUUUAUAGUUUUUAUUAUAAAAUAUUUAUAUAAAAUUUUAAUGUUAUAUUAUAAAAAUUAUUUUGUUGGGGAGAUAAAAAAAUUAAAUAAACUUUUUUAAAUAUUUUCAUGAAUAAUUGAGUAAUUGAUCCAUAUUUAUUGAUUAAAAGAAAAAAUUACCUUAGGGAUAACAGCGUAAUAUUUUUUUUUAGUACAAAUAAGAAAAAAAGUUUGCGACCUCGAUGUUGGAUUAAGAUAAAAUUUAAAUGUAAAAGUUUAAAAUUUUGAUCUGUUCGAUCAUUAAAAUCUUACAUGAUC
RNAcentral lists this ribosomal RNA (539 nucleotides) under Talicada nyseus. RNAcentral describes it as "partial 16S ribosomal RNA". The stretch from base 408 to 539 matches the Rfam family "Bacterial large subunit ribosomal RNA", at positions 2473 to 2605 of the family's 2925-position model. Lineage: Eukaryota; Metazoa; Arthropoda; Insecta; Lepidoptera; Lycaenidae. The record is from RNAcentral.